GAAAAAGUAUGCAAGAACUGCUAAUUCUAUGU
RNAcentral lists this transfer RNA (32 nucleotides) under Bos primigenius (aurochs). Its description in RNAcentral is "partial tRNA-Ser". The record is from RNAcentral. RNAcentral also lists the same sequence under 1 other name. Lineage: Eukaryota; Metazoa; Chordata; Mammalia; Artiodactyla; Bovidae.